RNAcentral lists this ribosomal RNA (704 nucleotides) under uncultured bacterium. RNAcentral's name for it is "bacterial SSU rRNA". It matches the Rfam family "Bacterial small subunit ribosomal RNA", at positions 8 to 722 of the family's 1533-position model. The record is from RNAcentral.
AGAGUUUGAUCAUGGCUCAGAACGAACGCUGGCGGCGUGCCUAACACAUGCAAGUCGAACGAGAAAGUUCUCUUCGGAGGAUGAGUAUAGUGGCGCACGGGUGAGUAACACGUAGGUAAUCUACCUCUGAGUUCGAGAUAACCUUGGGAAACUAGGGCUAAUACCGGAUGAAGCUACAGGAUUGGCAGUCUGUAGUUAAAGGGCCUUCGGGUCUGCUUAGAGAUGAGCCUGCGACCUAUCAGCUAGUUGGUAGUGUAAUGGACUACCAAGGCGAAGACGGGUAGUUGGUCUGAGAGGAUGAUCAGUCACACUGGCACUGAGACACGGGCCAGACUCCUACGGGAGGCAGCAGUAGGGAAUAUUGCGCAAUGGGCGAAAGCCUGACGCAGCGACGCCGCGUGAGUGAAGAAGGCAGUUAUUGUUGUAAAGCUCUGUAAGGAGGGAAGAAUUUUGACGGUACCUCCAAAGUAAGGACCGGCUAAACACGUGCCAGCAGCCGCGGUAAUACGUGUGGUCCAAGCGUUGUCCGGAAUGACUGGGCGUAAAGGGUGUGUAGGCGGACUAAUAUGUCAGGUGUGAAAUCCCUCGGCUUAACCGGGGAACUGCGCUUGAAACUGUUAGUCUAGAGUAUGUCAGAGGCAAGCGGAAUUCCCGGAGUAGCGGUGAAAUGCGUAGAUAUCAAGAAGAACGCCGGUGGCGAAGGC